RNAcentral lists this ribosomal RNA (453 nucleotides) under uncultured bacterium. Its description in RNAcentral is "bacterial SSU rRNA". It matches the Rfam family "Bacterial small subunit ribosomal RNA", at positions 29 to 524 of the family's 1533-position model. The record is from RNAcentral.
AGCGAACGCUGGCGGCAGGCUUAACACAUGCAAGCCGAGCGGGCGUAGCAAUACGUCAGCGGCAGACGGGUGAGUAACGCGUGGGAACAUACCUUUUGGUUCGGAACAACACAGGGAAACUUGUGCUAAUACCGGAUAAGCCCUUACGGGGAAAGAUUUAUCGCCGAAAGAUUGGCCCGCGUCUGAUUAGCUUGUUGGUGAGGUAACGGCUCACCAAGGCGACGAUCAGUAGCUGGUCNGAGAGGAUGAUCAGCCACAUUGGGACUGAGACACGGCCCAAACUCCUACGGGAGGCAGCAGUGGGGAAUAUUGGACAAUGGGCGCAAGCCUGAUCCAGCCAUGCCGCGUGAGUGAUGAAAGGCCCUAGGGUUNUAAAGCUCUUUUGUGCGGGAAGAUAAUGACGGUACCGNAAGAAUAAGCCCCGGCUAACUUCGUGCCAGCCGCCGCAGUAAG